Molecule: ribosomal RNA, 476 nt
Filed under: uncultured organism
Description: partial 16S ribosomal RNA
Rfam family: Bacterial small subunit ribosomal RNA
Source: RNAcentral
UACACUCCUACGGGAGGCAGCAGUGGGGAAUAUUGCACAAUGGGCGCAAGCCUGAUGCAGCCAUGCCGCGUGUAUGAAGAAGGCCUUCGGGUUGUAAAGUACUUUCAGCGGGGAGGAAGGCGAUAAGGUUAAUAACCUUGUCGAUUGACGUUACCCGCAGAAGAAGCACCGACUAACUCCGUGCCAGCAGCCGCGGUAAUACGGAGGGUGCAAGCGUUAAUCGGAAUUACUGGGCGUAAAGCGCACGCAGGCGGUCUGUCAAGUCGGAUGUGAAAUCCCCGGGCUCGACCUGGGAACUGCAUUCGAAACUGGCAGGCUAGAGUCUUGUAGAGGGGGGUAGAAUUCCAGGUGUAGCGGUGAAAUGCGUAGAGAUCUGGAGGAAUACCGGUGGCGAAGGCGGCCCCCUGGACAAAGACUGACGCUCAGGUGCGAAAGCGUGGGGAGCAAACAGGAUUAGAAACCCUGGUAGUCCCAUG